AUGGGAAGCAUCAUAUGCGCGCGCCGUGCCGCGAAGACGGUGCAGGGCUCUCAUGUGUUCGAGAUCUCAGGCUACAGCCUGCAACGGGAGCGCCUCGCGGUGUCCAGCAGAUCGGCCGUGUUCACCGUCGGAGGCUACGACUGGCAAAUUCACUUCUUCCCCGGUGGAGUCAUCGAUUGCUGCAAAGACUACGUGGCGGCGUACGUCUUCUUAGAGAGCAAGAACAAGGACAUCAGCGUGAGGGCAUCCUUCCAGCUCAGCCUGGUGGACGUCACCGGGUCUGCGCCGCCGCGUACCUUGACAACGGGGGCAACAGAGCUGAAUACCACCGAUAAAACAUGCGUCGGCCUUCACAAGUUCAUGAAAAGAAGUGAGCUGGAAGGGUCGCCUUACCUUCGCGAUGAUCGCCUCACCAUCGAGUGCGUCGCGGAGAUCGCCCUCGUCAACGAUGUGAAGUCGAUUGCUAAGGUGCCGCCUUCCGACAUCGCGGAGCAUCUUGGAAAGUUGUUGCGGGAGAAAGAUGGCACCGACGUGGUUCUCGAGGUUGAAGGAGAGGCUUUUCCUGCCCACAAGAUCGUGCUCGCAAUGCGGUCGCCCGUCUUCAAAGCGGAGCUGUAUGGUGAGAUGAGAGCAAAGGACAUGAGUUGUAUUACCAUCGGUGACAUGCAGCCCGCUGUGUUUGAGGUCCUGCUCCAUUUUAUAUACAAUGAUUAG
This 714-nucleotide ribosomal RNA is filed under the name Triticum aestivum (bread wheat). Its description in RNAcentral is "partial small subunit ribosomal RNA". The record is from RNAcentral. Lineage: Eukaryota; Viridiplantae; Streptophyta; Magnoliopsida; Poales; Poaceae.